Long non-coding RNA from Neofelis nebulosa (Clouded leopard), 532 nucleotides. RefSeq lists it as uncharacterized. The record is from RefSeq and is a predicted model, not a curated record. Lineage: Eukaryota; Metazoa; Chordata; Mammalia; Carnivora; Felidae. The transcript is spliced from 3 exons.
GGACAAGUCAGUGAAUGUCCAGCCCUCAAGGAGUGUGGGGAAGCAUCCAUAAAACACCACGGCGGUCGAGGAUGCCGAGCUCCUGAGACGACUCAGAGGAUGGGGCUGGAUGUCAGGCCCGGCUGCACACCUCUCGGGCGAUGCGGAAAGCGGUAACUGCCACAGGAGAAGCCGAAGCUGCGUCCAAAGAUGUCCUUUCAACUCCCCCAGCAGGAGCGACGUGUCAGCAAGCCAUCGGAGAAGCCAGGAUGUCCCCAGCUUUGUGCUUCCGCCAGCCAUGCUCGCACGCAGUGACUUGGCUGCAACUCUACGGAGACUCAGCCCAGCACUGACAGAGUCCCCGCAACAGAAGCCAGACCCGUCCUCCCCAGUUGCAGGAUAAUCUCUGGAAGAACACGUGCCCAUCUUGCUUACCUUCUCUUGCAGACCCGGACUCUGUUUUCCAUUAAAUGUCAAGUCCAGUGGCCCAUCUUGAUCUGGAAAGGGCAGGCUUUCACUGCCAUUAAAAACAUCUUCUUAAAAAGAUGGACAG